AAACUCUCAAGCUAUGCUUGGUAUUGAAGGAAGUCCUUUUGGACCCCUUUGUAACUUGUCAGUGCGGGACCUACCGGCUUCAAGCGUAGCAAAAUUUCGCUUCGUAGUUUGGUAGGCCUCUGCCUAGCAACUCUUACUUUCAA
Molecule: unclassified non-coding RNA, 143 nt
Filed under: uncultured Ascomycota
Lineage: Eukaryota; Fungi; Ascomycota
Description: sequence contains ITS2
Source: RNAcentral